CCAAUCCUCCAUGCCUAAACCACAUUUUUCCGUUCCAAUAUCAAAGGGCUGGCUGCUGCCCUUGUUGUUACCGCCGGAGACAGCUGUCGUUACCGCCACGCCGCUGCUGUCCCCAGAAGAGGAAGACAGUGUUGAGGAAGAUGUUGGAGGACUUGGGCUUCUUCUAGUAUUAAUAGAUGUGGGUUCACUGC
Molecule: long non-coding RNA, 191 nt
Organism: Hibiscus syriacus
Lineage: Eukaryota; Viridiplantae; Streptophyta; Magnoliopsida; Malvales; Malvaceae
Exons: 3
Source: RefSeq, a predicted model, not a curated record